GACGAACGCUGGCGGCGUGCUUAACACAUGCAAGUCGAGCGGAAAGGCCCUUCGGGGUACUCGAGCGGCGAACGGGUGAGUAACACGUGAGUAACCUGCCCCAGACUUUGGGAUAACCCUCGGAAACGGGGGCUAAUACCGGAUACGACACAGCUUCGCAUGGGGUCUGUGUGGAAAGUUUUUCGGUUUGGGAUGGGCUCGCGGCCUAUCAGCUUGUUGGUGGGGUGAUGGCCUACCAAGGCGACGACGGGUAGCCGGCCUGAGAGGGCGACCGGCCACACUGGGACUGAGACACGGCCCAGACUCCUACGGGAGGCAACAGUGGGGAAUAUUGCACAAUGGGCGGAAGCCUGAUGCAGCGACGCCGCGUGAGGGAUGACGGCCUUCGGGUUGUAACCUCUUUCAGCAGGGACGAAGCGUAAGUGACGGUACCUGCAGAAGAAGCGCCGGCCAACUACGUG
This 461-nucleotide ribosomal RNA is filed under the name uncultured bacterium. Its description in RNAcentral is "partial 16S ribosomal RNA". It matches the Rfam family "Bacterial small subunit ribosomal RNA", at positions 28 to 507 of the family's 1533-position model. The record is from RNAcentral.